GUCCACGCCCUAAACUAUGUGUACUAGGUAUUGCGAGUAUCGACCCUCGCAGUGCCGUUUAAAAGCUAACGCGUUAAGUACACCGCCUGGGGAGUACGGCCGCAAGGUUAAAACUCAAAGGAAUAGACGGGGACCCGCACAAGCGGAGGAUCAUGCGGUUUAAUUCGAUGGUACGCGACAAACCUUACCGGGGCUCAACUACUAGCUGCAAGCCGUACGAAAGUAUGGCCGCCUUCGAGGGUGCUAGAUAGGUGCUGCAUGGUUGCCGU
This 269-nucleotide ribosomal RNA is filed under the name uncultured bacterium. RNAcentral's name for it is "partial 16S ribosomal RNA". It matches the Rfam family "Bacterial small subunit ribosomal RNA", at positions 793 to 1055 of the family's 1533-position model. The record is from RNAcentral.